RNAcentral lists this ribosomal RNA (502 nucleotides) under uncultured bacterium. RNAcentral describes it as "partial 16S ribosomal RNA". It matches the Rfam family "Bacterial small subunit ribosomal RNA", at positions 28 to 507 of the family's 1533-position model. The record is from RNAcentral.
GACGAACGCUGGCGGCGUGCUUAACACAUGCAAGUCGAACGGUGAAGGGGUCUGCUUUUGUGGGCCCUGGAUGAGUGGCGAACGGGUGAGUAACACGUGAGUAACCUGCCCCCUUCUUCUGGAUAACCGCAUGAAAGUGUGGCUAAUACGGGAUAUUCUGGGUCUGUCGCAUGAUGGGUCUGGGAAAGAUUGCGCCUUUGGGUGUUGUUGGUGGGGGAUGGGCUCGCGGCCUAUCAGCUUGUUGGUGGGGUGAUGGCCUACCAAGGCGGGGACGGGUAGCCGGCCUGAGAGGGUGGACGGUCACACUGGGACUGAGACACGGCCCAGACUCCUACGGGAGGCAGCAGUGGGGAAUAUUGCACAAUGGGCGCAAGCCUGAUGCAGCGACGCCGCGUGAGGGAUGGAGGCCUUCGGGUUGUAAACCUCUUUCGCCAGUGAAGCAGGCCUGCUCCGUGUGGGUGGGUUGACGGUAGCUGGAUAAGAAGCGCCGGCUAACUACGUG